UACGGGGGGGGCAACCGUUGUUCGGAAUUACUGGGCGUAAAGGGCUCGUAGGCGGCCAACUAAGUCGGAUGUGAAAUCCCCAGGCUCAACUUGGGAACUGCAUCCGAUACUGGAUGGCUUGAAUUCGGGAGAGGGAUGCAGAAUUCCAGGUGUAGCGGUGAAAUGCGUAGAUAUCUGGAGGAAUACCGGUGGCGAAGGCGGCAUCCUGGACCGACAUUGACGCUGAGGCGCGAAAGCUAGGGGAGCAAACGGG
Molecule: ribosomal RNA, 253 nt
Filed under: uncultured bacterium
Lineage: Bacteria
Description: partial 16S ribosomal RNA
Rfam family: Bacterial small subunit ribosomal RNA
Source: RNAcentral